GUCAGGAUGGCCGAGCGGUCUAAGGCGCUGCGUUCAGGUCGCAGUCUCCCCUGGCGGCGUGGGUUCGAUUCCCACUUCUGACA
This is a non-coding RNA of Danio rerio (zebrafish), 83 nucleotides long. The record is from Rfam. NCBI's taxonomy places the organism in Eukaryota, Metazoa, Chordata, Actinopteri, Cypriniformes, Danionidae.